This is a long non-coding RNA of Oncorhynchus keta (chum salmon), 570 nucleotides long. RefSeq lists it as uncharacterized. NCBI's taxonomy places the organism in Eukaryota, Metazoa, Chordata, Actinopteri, Salmoniformes, Salmonidae. The transcript is spliced from 3 exons. The record is from RefSeq and is a predicted model, not a curated record.
GGUAUGUUCUAUACACACAUAUAUACACACACACUGAGGGAGUCAGUACCUGAGGUAUGUUCUAUACACACAUAUAUACACACACACUGAGGGAGUCAGUACCUGAGGUAUGUUCUAUACACACAUAUAUACACACACACUGAGGGAGUCAGUACCUGAGGUAUGUUCUAUACACACAUAUAUACACACACACUGAGGGAGUCAGUACCUGAGGUAUGUUCUAUACACACAUAUAUACACACACACUGAGGGAGUCAGUACCUGAGGUAUGUUCUAUACACACAUAUAUACACACACACUGAGGGAGUCAGUACCUGAGGUAUGUUCUAUACACACAUAUAUACACACACACUGAGGGAGUCAGUACCUGAGGUAUGUUCUAUACACACAUAUAUACACACACACUGAGGGAGUCAGUACCUGAGGUAUGUUCUAUACACACAUAUAUACACACACACUGAGGGAGUCAGUACCUGAGGUAUGUUCUAUACACACAUAUAUACACACACACUGAGGGAGUCAGUACCUGAGGUAUGUUCUAUACACACAUAUAUACACACACACUGAGGG